Molecule: small RNA, 117 nt
Filed under: Pongo abelii (Sumatran orangutan)
Lineage: Eukaryota; Metazoa; Chordata; Mammalia; Primates; Hominidae
Description: Metazoan signal recognition particle RNA (ENSPPYG00000033386.1)
Source: Rfam by way of RNAcentral
GCUGGGCGUGGUGGCUCACGCCUGUAAUCCCAGCACUUUGGGAGGCCAAGGUGGGUGGGUCACUGGAGGUCAGGAGUUCAAGACCAGCCUGACCAACAUAGUGAAACCCCAUCUCUA